RNAcentral lists this transfer RNA (63 nucleotides) under Perkinsus chesapeaki. RNAcentral describes it as "tRNA-Leu". It matches the Rfam family "tRNA", at positions 10 to 63 of the family's 71-position model. Rfam says of the family: Transfer RNA (tRNA) molecules are approximately 80 nucleotides in length. Their secondary structure includes four short double-helical elements and three loops (D, anti-codon, and T loops). The record is from RNAcentral. Lineage: Eukaryota; Perkinsozoa; Perkinsida; Perkinsidae.
GCCGAGUGGUCUAAGGCGCUGGCUUAAGGCGCCAGUCCGAAAGGGCGUGGGUUCGAACCCCAC